RNAcentral lists this signal recognition particle RNA (267 nucleotides) under Exiguobacterium sp. SL14. Its description in RNAcentral is "signal recognition particle sRNA large type". It matches the Rfam family "Bacterial large signal recognition particle RNA". From Rfam's summary of the family: The signal recognition particle (SRP) is a universally conserved ribonucleoprotein involved in the co-translational targeting of proteins to membranes. Archaeal SRP consists of a 7S RNA and homologues of the eukaryotic SRP19 and SRP54 proteins. Lineage: Bacteria; Bacillati; Bacillota; Bacilli; Caryophanales. The record is from RNAcentral.
CCGUGCUAGGUGGGGAUGUAGCGGUUCCCUGUCACUCGCAAUCCGCUAUAGCGAGACUGAAUUCCAUGUCGAGGGAUAUGAUUGGUGUGGUCUGCCUCACGUAAGUAGCGUUGACGUUUGAGUCCUGCGCAACAGAUACCCAUGAACCAGGUCAGGUCCUAAGGAAGCGACCUUAAGUGGUGCUCUCUGUGUGUUGCAGGGGUGCUUGGACUGAGCAGGUCUGCGUGAGUAACGCAUGUUGAACAUAUUUCAGAAUAUGGUGCGCGG